UUUUAUCCAGGCAAUCCUCGCAUGCCAGUGAUCCCAGGCAUGGUGAAAGGGUCCUUCAUGCUGCUUCACUGGUGACUUAUUUGCUCAGGCUGCCACUAACUCUCAUGAAGACCUGAAUGCAGUGUCAGAGAAGGGCUGAUGUGGACUAGCUCACAGCUGCAAGAGCCAAAUGCAAAUAUUCAGACGCUCCUUCCCAGAGGCUGAAGGUAUAUUAUCAGAGCAUUGUAAAAGAAGAGCAUUUCUUUGCUAACUUAUGGAACAACAAUGGGUUUUUUGUUCUUGGCCAGAUUCCCCAAAGAGAAUUGAAUUGCAAGACAUGCAGUGUUUGGUUAGAAUGUUUCUAAGGAAAGGAUAAAACAUGUAUGUAUUUAUUAACCUGGUCCAUUCCAUGGAAUGUCCUAGUGAGCUGUGGGAACUGACACAGUACAUUUUUUCUUACCAGGCCAUCAGAAGUCACAGUGAUGAUUGAGAAGAUAUACCAGACAUUCUGACAUCGUUGUUGCUGAGACUAUCUUCUCCUGUAAAUGGGCAUUUAUGAGCAGAAGGUUCUCAAAAAUGCACCCAUGGUUGCUGGAACUUCUUUGCAGUCGCUCUGAGUGUGGCAUUCAACUCACCUAACAUCUGCUCUGUAAACAGCUGUCCAGCAAGCCUUGUGUUGUCACCUGUAUUCUUUUUCAUAGCAGUGGAGGAAGGAAGAAACCUUAUUGCCCCUAGCUAGCUGCUGUGUUUCUCUGCUAGAGAUUGCCACCCCAUCAGGGGAGCUGGUCAGUGAAACAGAGCUUGGCAUUUCACAUCCUGGUACGUGCACUUCAAUAGCCACCAAUGAAUUAAUGCAGCACAUUGUGGUUUGGACAGUGGGCAUACCUAUUAGCUUCUCUUUCAUGUCCUCUACACUGGAAACAAUCAGCAAAGAAACAAGAUAGUCAGCUGUGCACUGCAACAACACAACACAAAAGAUCAGAGUACCUUUACUUGUGCUAUACAAAGCAUAUGCCUUCACUUGUCUGAACGUCUCUUUUCCAAUGCAUAAAGAAUGGUUAAAAAUAUUUUUCUGGUAAGAAUGACUCUAAUGUGGAAAAAACCUACCAUCUCCCAGUGUCCAUAUAGUUCGUCAGGGUUUUAAAGUACUCAUGAGUGAAAAUAGGGGUAUUGAAGGACAUAUUUCUCGAGUUUCUGAAAAUAACUAAAUAAUGAAUAAUGAAAGUUCACUAUUUUGAAAAUGUCAUUAUUUUGUUCUGAAUCAAUUACAGAUUAGAAAAUAGAUUUUUUUUAUUUUUCUGUUGUUGAAAACAAAUAAAUGAUACCUUUUUCAUGAGUAUUUUGCCCAGUUCUAAUGUUUCAGAAGCAAUGUUGGAUGCUCAAAGCAUUUGUCAUAUAAAAUAACACUGCUUCAACUUUCAAGCCUGCAAUGAUAAUAAUUAAUACUUUCUAUCAGUACUUUAUAUUCAUUGCAAGUACCAGUAACAUUAGUGACAUUGUUAAAAGUUCCUCAUCUGAAUGCUGCUGAGAUAGAUGAAAUGCAUGAUUUUGGAUAAUAAUACAGUAUCAUUUAAACCUGAAUUUACUUGCCACCAUUUUUCCUGGCUUCUACAUUAAAUGGUGCUUUGUAGAGAUUAUUUUGGGACCCAAAAUGUUAACUAUUCAUUGGAAUGCACUGUACAAACUUAGAAACAUGAUGAAUAGUAUUUUAAGCAUAAGCAUUUCAAACAUAUCUGUUCUGUGUUUAAAUGUCAGAACAAAGCAUAUUACAGGAAAAACACCUACAAAUGCAUAAAUGCAAUAAAGCCACAAAAUAUGGGUUAAAAAUUUCCAUAUUUGAUCUGGGUAGCAAAUUAUAGAGAGAGCAAAAACCCCCUACGCAUAACCAUAGCUGCCAAUUCUGGAUCUUUCAAAAAGCAAGGGCAGGAUACCAAGUACAUGAUUCUGCCUUGUGCCAAGCAAGCAUCUAUGAAAAUGUCACCUUUAUGCAAGUGAAACACAAAACGAGUAGAAUUUGCCCUUAAAUGUGAGGGGGAAAGUGUUCUGAAAAUAAACAAAUUGCUUUUUACUGCUAAUUAAAACAUGAAUCAAUAAAUAUUUUCAAAGUUAAAUAAUACUGUUCCUCUCAAGCUGAGCACCAAUCUGCUGGGCUCCAGCCAGGAGAGAAUCUUUUCUAGCAUAGUUACAAACAACUGAUGAGUGGAGCUGAAAACAGAAACAUGAAUACAACUUUCACAGAAAUUCAAACAAAAUUGUACGACUUUUAACAUAUCAUUUGAAGGUUCUUUACUCUUUCCACCUUUUUGUAUAGUGGUCAGCACAUUGCUGGUGAGAUAAUGACCUACAACGUGCAGUCAGAUUAUGGGAAUUAAGAUGUCAGUUUCAAAAUAAACACCAGUUGGUUCAACAAAGCCUGCAGCUAGGAUUAUGUCAGGACUAGGAAGACAUUUAAAACCCGAUUGAAGCAGACUUACUGUUUCUGAACAGAAAACAUGCUGUAGCAUCCUGUUUUACUGUAGACUUAGAAAACCGAUGUUGCUGACUCCCUGAAACUGAUUUCUCAGCUAGGAAGAUGGUCAAGACAAAGUCCUUGCUUUGGAUAUGGAAUCUGGUCAGAUUCUUAUUUCUUGUCCUCUUGCACUUGAUAUCCUUGGUUUUUCCCACAGCAGUUUUUCACAAGUGAGUCUGUGAUCCCAGAAACAGAUCCCCAGUUAAUAUCAUCUACUCUUAUUGCUUUGCAUGUUGAUUAUGGGAUAACACUUCCAGCAGAGAGGUGGAACAGGGACAACGAGGGUCACUCGAAAUAUAGACGUGUAGCUACUAAGAUUUCAGAGUUAACCCACCAUGCUUACUGACUUCUCAGGAGUUAAACUAUGUCAUAUUUGUUAAUUACGUAAGAAUUUAGCUUAAUAUGAGAGUACUGAAAAUUCUAUGAAAAAGUUUGAACCGAGCAUGAUUAGACAGCUACACAACAAGUUUCUUUUUUCUCUCUCUUGCUCUUAUUCUGAGAAUAACAAACAAAUUAAAAUCCUCCAACCCUCCUAUCCCCAACUAAAUUUUUAAAAGAAUGAAAAAGGUGUCUAUACCUGAAUUGGGGGAAGUUUUAAGGAACACUACAUACCAGUCAUACACCAUUAAAAAAAAAAAAGUAGUUUAUGUUAUCCUUUAAACAGCACUGCAGUAUUAAGAAGGCAAAUAUUUUUUAUUAAUAUUUUCUUUUUAUUCUGGGAUACAUUUGCUAAAGUCCUAAUCAAAUAAAUGUGUAUCACCUGUGAAACAGUGAUGUACUACUCCUAGAAGCUGACAGUUGCCAUAGAUGUUGUAGCCAAAACCCUGAGUAGGCAGUUUCAAUUUAAGUGCAGAUUCCUUGAGCUGCAGGUCCUGAGUUUUUGUGAUUGGUCUAAAGUAUUAGGUCUUACAGACAUGUACACACUUGACCCCUUUGUGCCUCUAAACUCCAAAAGGUACUAGUAUGCCAGCUAUUCUGGACAAAUUUAUCACAUUAUAUUUUGUGUCCAUUAGAGCUUAGACUAAACAACCUCACGUAGUGGACACAGUACAUUAAAUUUCCAUGAAAAAUAUUCAGCAGAACAGUCUGACUGAAUUAUAGCCCAAACAGUCUUCAGAGUCACUGCUGAUAGUAUUUUAAAUAUCUGAGUUUUAUAACAAGCCUAUUGUUUUAGGACUAUCUACAGUACUUGAAACUUCAGUGAAUCAGUUGGAGAUACUUGUAAGUCUUAUUACCAGGCAUGAAAUGAAGGUUUCAAUCCUAUUCAGUGAUACUGGACAGAUUUCUAGCAAGUACAGGAGAAAGAACACUUUUACUACAGACUGUUCUGGCCAAGGAUUCACCUCUGGCUAUGUCUGAUCUCUGCAUUCAAAAAGAAUGUUCUGGAUUCUUACUCUGCAUCCCAGCCUUCCGCUCAGUCAUUCUGUCUUGGCUGUCUCAGUUUUGCUUGUCUACAGCUCUGCUACUCCUUUGUGGGUAGUGUGGGGGUAUAUAUAUAUGUAUAUUGCAUAUAUAUUUUGAAGCACUUGGAUGGUGGGUUUUACAGCAUUUGGAUGAUGAGUGCUAAAAAAUACUGAGCAGUAUGUGAAGUCAGGUGGUAUGGAAAUAUCAAGAACAGUAAGUGGUAACGAUAGUAGUGUCGGUGGUGGUGGGGUGAUGGCACAGCACAGGCUGAGGGGCCCUGGGCCAACUCAUGAUUCUGAGUGUGUUUCUGGAGGCAGCACAACCCCUGCUUUGGUGUGGUUAUCAGCAUAGGAUAGGGGACAGCCAUACAGGAGCGCUCUGGGAGGCAUAAUGGAUGGGACAGCAUGUGUUCUGCCAAAAUAUUUGAAAGCCUUAUUUAUGACUCCAUUCUGUGGUAAUCUGAAUGUGAUUAAGUAAGGUUGAAAUCCAAAUAAUCUAUUGGUUAGUGAACUAAAAGAUUAUGCUUGCUUUCACAUUGCAGUCAUUUACAUUGUCUUUGUGAGAAAUUGUGGCAGGAUGCAAAAGAGGUUGCAUUAUGCAAGCAAAAAUAAAGAACAGUAGAAUUUAUAGCAAAUAAGUUUGUUAAAUUCUGCAUUAAUGAAAACUUCAAACAGUUGCUGUAGAUGUUGCAUGGCAGUAGGAGUAGGCUGAAGAUGAUAAUUUUAAGAAUACAGAUAUAUUAUUAGAAAGAGCACUGCUCUGCUUACAGCUGCAUCACUUCAAACAUACUUAAUGGUGCACUUUACUAUCUUUUGUGUUUAAGCAUAGGGCAAUGGCAUAUAGGUAAAUGAGUCUAUGUCUCAUUCUCCCUUUUCCUUUGCUGUUAAAUGUGCUACAUGCAUGCAUGGACUGGAACACAAGGCAUUACGUCACUUCCCAGGUUACUUGUUUUCACUCCUUUAAAACAGGGACAAAAUAAGUAAUGUGAUGGAUUACAUGAAAGCUGGAAAAGGAAGACCAGAGUAAUUUUUACACUUUAUAGAAUAUUCACAUGAAACUUUAAACAAGUAAAAUCAAAGAAACACAGGAACUGUGUUCUGAACUCACAGGAAUAUGAUAUAAACAUAUAAAAAAGGAAGAUUCCAAAACAUGUAUUCUACUAUAGUGGGUCCUAUUUGUUCUUCAUACAGAGACAGACAUAUAGAAUAAUAGCCUUGAGGUUUUAAAAAGAGGUUAUAAAAAGAAAAUAAAACUGUUGUAAUGCUAAAACUGUAAUAGUUUCAGCACUCUUACUUUGGCCCCUUUAUGCAUGUAUCAUGAUUAUGCUUCUUUGCUUGAGCCUCUCUAUUUUUGUACACCCUCUGCCUCUUUUGAUGAAUGAUUAUUUAUUCAGUAUUUGACUAGUUAUUCAAAGGGUGAUCUCCUUUUUUUCACCACAAAUUUCUCCUGUAUUUUGAUACACUUACUGCAGCAUCUGAAUGCUAUUAAAAAGUUAAUUAAUUUAUCUCCACAAAGUUCUGUGAAGAUAGAUGGUGUUAUUAUCCCUGCUCUGUAAGUGACAACCUGGGUAUAAAGCAAUUAUUGGUUUCACUGAAAAAGAUAUGGCUACUCUGGAGGAAAAUGGAUAGGAUCAUCUGGUGAAUGGCUGCAUCACUAUGCAUUUAUAUCAAACUAUUAAUUGCAACAUUUAGGAAAUAGAAUAUCUUUAGUUGUUUUGAUUCAUUAACUGAGAAAGCAAACAUCUCAUGUCUCAGUUUCUAACUUAAAAAAGAAAAGGACUUCCCUGUCACGAAGAAGACUUCUGAAUCUAUGGAAUUUCUGGUAUCAAACAUCAACACAGUAACUACUCUUUAUGUGAACCAACCCUGGUCCAUGUAUGAAAUGGUUAACAUCAUAACUACUUUUUAACUGCAGUAGAGAGAAGCUCUCAGGACAUCUGUUUUUAACCCUAACUGUAGAACAUAAUGAUCAAUUGACUUUGCCUUUGUCUCAUUCCUUUCUUCCUUCUCACUUUUUCCUGGUCAUGCCCAAUCCAAUUCUCCCUUCAGCCCUGCCUCUGCAAUUACCUGAUAUCAUCAUACGGAUCCUGUUCCCAUCUGUAAAUGUGUUGCUUGAGCUUCUGCUACUUCCUCUGUUUUUGGGCUAUAUUUUUUGCAUAUUUUGAGCAAAUGCUUACAUUGGUCAGGCCAUACCCACCUCUGCCUGCAUUGCCUGCCAACCAAAAGGGAUACGUAGAGAUCUGGAAGGCCAGGUUCUGUUCUCAGGUUGGAGAUGGACUGCCCAGAGAGGAGAACUCUGAUUACAUGUGAACUCAGAUUUUUUUCCCAGUCAGUGAAGCAGCGUGAGUUUUAAACAAAUUUCAAUAUGUACUUUAAAUGUACAUGAGGUGCUAUGUACUAGAGCAUCUGAACAAAUGAACUACAGUGAUUCAGUAAUUUUUUAACAUGAACCAAAUUCUGUGAGGGUGUGUUUGGCUUGUGGUGGUUAUUUUCCAUCUACUUACUUUAGAAACAGCAGCUCUGUUUUACUUCUUUUUUUUUUUUUUUUUUAAAUAUAUAUGCAGAUGCAUAUAUGCACACACAAAUAAUUUAAUAUAAUUAGCUUUAAGCAAAAUACUGAAAUGUCAAAUUUCAGAUAGAAGUCUGGGUAGGGUUCAGGUAAGUUUGCUAAAUUUUGGCUAAGCUACAACAUGCUGAAAAAAUAGUUCUUUUAAUGGAAAAGAAUUGAACAACUUUAUUUCUGGGAGUAGUACCUGGGACAAUGACUCAUACAAUUUAAGCCACUGCAUGGAAACUCCAGGAGUAAAAUUCUCUGGGAGUUCCCAGUCCUCUUUUUUUGUAUGCUUGAAUAGCCCUUCUCCUUCCAAAAAAUAACAGUGGACCUGCAGAUAUUAUUUUUAAGGCACGGGCUUGUUUAUAACAUUGGAAACUUCACUGUCUUGCAUCACAGGUUAUCAAUCUUUCUAUAUCCCAUCUUCCAUGCCAGCAUUUUCUGAUGAAUUCUUUCAAAAUUAUAAACACAUUUUAAUUAACAUUUCCUGCACAUUAAUUUACUUUGUAACAGAUUUAAAAAGAAAAUAUUUUAAUUGUAAUUUUCUAUCUUCAUUUCUAUUUCUUUAAUGACAA
Molecule: long non-coding RNA, 7017 nt
Organism: Corvus hawaiiensis (hawaiian crow)
Lineage: Eukaryota; Metazoa; Chordata; Aves; Passeriformes; Corvidae
Exons: 6
Source: RefSeq, a predicted model, not a curated record